RNAcentral lists this unclassified non-coding RNA (231 nucleotides) under Hevea brasiliensis (rubber tree). Lineage: Eukaryota; Viridiplantae; Streptophyta; Magnoliopsida; Malpighiales; Euphorbiaceae. The record is from RNAcentral.
AUUUUACAAUAAAGAACCUAUCCUGUAGUCCUAGCUCUAAAAGGUCUCUGAUAGUGAUGAUAGCGAUGAUGGCUCCUCUUCAUCGAGCCUCUCCAUUAGCAUGUCCAGCUUAUUGUGGGCUUCCUAGAGGCUGUCCUCGAUUGCUCGCAUUCUGCUGUAUAUUGUGGUCUCCAUGCGCUGUAGGUAUGCGAGGACCGGAUCUAUUGGUGGCGGUGUGUAUGGAGGCACUCG